This 434-nucleotide ribosomal RNA is filed under the name uncultured Clostridium sp. RNAcentral's name for it is "partial 16S ribosomal RNA". It matches the Rfam family "Bacterial small subunit ribosomal RNA", at positions 341 to 792 of the family's 1533-position model. Lineage: Bacteria; Bacillati; Bacillota; Clostridia; Eubacteriales; Clostridiaceae. The record is from RNAcentral.
ACGGAAGGCAGCAGUGGGGAAUAUUGCACAAUGGGGGAAACCCUGAUGCAGCGACGCCGCGUGAGUGAAGAAGUAUUUCGGUAUGUAAAGCUCUAUCAGCAGGAAAGAAAAUGACGGUACCUGACUAAGAAGCCCCGGCUAACUACGUGCCAGCAGCCGCGGUAAUACGUAGGGGGCAAGCGUUAUCCGGAUUUAUUGGGUUUAAAGGGUGCGCAGGCGGAUCGGUAAGUCAGGGGUGAAAAGUUGGGGCUCAACUCCAAUCGUGCCUUUGAUACUGCCGGACUAGAGUGCGAUAGACGUGGCCGGAAUGUGAUGUGUAGCGGUGAAAUGCUUAGAUAUGUCACAGAACACCGAUCGAGAAGUCAGGUCACGAGCUCGCAACUGACGCUCAGGCACGAAAGCGUGGGGAUCAAACAGGAUUAGAUACCCUGGUA